This 255-nucleotide ribosomal RNA is filed under the name uncultured bacterium. RNAcentral describes it as "partial 16S ribosomal RNA". It matches the Rfam family "Bacterial small subunit ribosomal RNA", at positions 524 to 776 of the family's 1533-position model. The record is from RNAcentral.
UACGUAGGGGGGCAAGCGUUGUCCGGAUUUAUUGGGCGUAAAGAGCGUGUAGGCGGCUUCACAGGUCCGCUGUGAAAACUCGAGGCUCAACCUCGAGCUGUCGGUGGAAACCGUGUGGCUAGAGUCCGGAAGAGGAGAGUGGAAUUCCCCGGUGUAGCGGUGAAAUGCGCAGAUAUCGGGAAGAACACCCGUGGCGAAGGCGGCUCUCUGGGACGGUACUGACGCUGAGACGCGAAAGCGUGGGGAGCGAACAGG